Molecule: ribosomal RNA, 431 nt
Filed under: uncultured bacterium
Lineage: Bacteria
Description: bacterial LSU rRNA
Rfam family: Bacterial large subunit ribosomal RNA
Source: RNAcentral
AACCAGUACCGUGAGGGAAAGGUGAAAAGCACCCCGACGAGGGGAGUGAAACAGUUUCUGAAACCGGACGCCUACAAGCAGUCGGAGGGGCCUUGCGCCCUGACGGCGUACCUUUUGUAUAAUGGGUCAACGACUUGGUCUGUCUGGCAAGCUUAAGCCGUUAGGUGUAGGCGCAGCGAAAGCGAGUCUUAAAUGGGCGACAUAGUCAGACGGAUCAGACCCGAAACCAGAUGAUCUAGGCAUGAGCAGGUUGAAGGUUGGGUAACACCAACUGGAGGACCGAACCCACACCUGUUGAAAAAGGUCGGGAUGACUUGUGCCUAGGGGUGAAAGGCCAAUCAAAUCUGGAGAUAGCUGGUUCUCCGCGAAAGCUAUUUAGGUAGCGCCUCGGACGAAUGCCCACGGGGGUAGAGCACUGCAUGGAUGAUGGG